RNAcentral lists this ribosomal RNA (818 nucleotides) under uncultured cyanobacterium. RNAcentral describes it as "bacterial SSU rRNA". It matches the Rfam family "Bacterial small subunit ribosomal RNA", at positions 57 to 905 of the family's 1533-position model. Lineage: Bacteria; Bacillati; Cyanobacteriota. The record is from RNAcentral.
GCAGUCGUACGAGAGUUUUUAACUCUAGUGGCGGACGGGUGAGUAACACGCUGAGAAUUUACCUUGAGGAGGGGGAUAACAAUUGGAAACGACUGCUUAAUACCCCAUAUGCUUUUGAGUGAAAUGGAUUUAUAUUUAUCCGCCUAGAGAGAAGCUCGCGGCUGAUUAGCUUGUUGGUAAGGUAAGAGCUUACCAAGGCGACGAUCAGUAUCUGGUUUGAGAGGACGAUCAGACACACUGGAACUGAGACACGGUCCAGACUCCUACGGGAGGCAGCAGUGGGGAAUUUUCCGCAAUGGGCGAAAGCCUGACGGAGCAAUACCGCGUGAGGGAAGACUGCCUAUGGGUUGUAAACCUCUUUUUUCAGGGAGGAAUAAAAUGACGUGUACCUGAAGAGUAAGCAUCGGCUAACUCCGUGCCAGCAGCCGCGGUAAGACGGAGGAUGCAAGUGUUAUCUGGAAUCACUGGGCGUAAAGCGUCUGUAGGUGGUUUGAUAAGUCAACUGUUAAAUCUUGAGGCUCAACUUCAAAAUCGCAGUCGAAACUAUUAGACUAGAGUAUAGUAGAGGUAAAGGGAAUUUCCAGUGGAGCGGUGAAAUGCGUAGAUAUUGGAAAGAACACCGAUGGCGAAAGCACUUUACUGGGCUAUUACUAACACUCAGAGACGAAAGCUAGGGUAGCAAAUGGGAUUAGAUACCCCAGUAGUCCUAGCCGUAAACUAUGGAUACUAGAUGUUGAACAGAUCGACCUGUGCAGUAUCAAAAGCUAACGCGUUAAGUAUCCCGCCUGGGAAGUAUGCUCGCAAGAGUGAAACUCAAA